Molecule: ribosomal RNA, 447 nt
Filed under: uncultured bacterium
Lineage: Bacteria
Description: bacterial SSU rRNA
Rfam family: Bacterial small subunit ribosomal RNA
Source: RNAcentral
UGGGGAAUCUUGGACAAUGGGGGCAACCCUGAUCCAGCCAUGCCGCGUGAGUGACGAAGGUCUUCGGAUUGUAAAGCUCUUUUAGCAGGGAAGAUAAUGACGGUACCUGCAGAAUAAGCCCCGGCUAACUUCGUGCCAGCAGCCGCGGUAAUACGAAGGGGGCUAGCGUUGUUCGGAAUUACUGGGCGUAAAGCGCACGUAGGCGGAUUGAUAAGUUAGAGGUGAAAUCCCGGGGCUCAACCUCGGAACUGCCUUUGAUACUGUUAGUCUCGAGUCCGAUAGAGGUGAGUGGAAUUCCUAGUGUAGAGGUGAAAUUCGUAGAUAUUAGGAAGAACACCAGUGGCGAAGGCGGCUCACUGGAUCGGUACUGACGCUGAGGUGCGAAAGCGUGGGGAGCAAACAGGAUUAGAUACCCAAGUAGUCCCUGAGCGGGCUGGCAAGGCGCAU